This 449-nucleotide ribosomal RNA is filed under the name uncultured bacterium. RNAcentral's name for it is "partial 16S ribosomal RNA". It matches the Rfam family "Bacterial small subunit ribosomal RNA", at positions 29 to 523 of the family's 1533-position model. The record is from RNAcentral.
AACGAACGCUGGCGGCAUGCCUAACACAUGCAAGUCGAACGAAGCCUUCGGGCUUAGUGGCGCACGGGUGCGUAACGCGUGGGAAUCUGCCCUUUGGUUCGGAAUAACAGUUGGAAACGACUGCUAAUACCGGAUGAUGACGAAAGUCCAAAGAUUUAUCGCCAGAGGAUGAGCCCGCGUAGGAUUAGCUAGUUGGUGUGGUAAAGGCGCACCAAGGCGACGAUCCUUAGCUGGUCUGAGAGGAUGAUCAGCCACACUGGGACUGAGACACGGCCCAGACUCCUACGGGAGGCAGCAGUGGGGAAUAUUGGACAAUGGGCGAAAGCCUGAUCCAGCAAUGCCGCGUGAGUGAUGAAGGCCUUAGGGUUGUAAAGCUCUUUUACCCGGGAUGAUAAUGACAGUACCGGGAGAAUAAGCUCCGGCUAACUCCGUGCCAGCCGCCGCCGUAA